GGUCAGAUUGAGACCAGUGUUAUAGAGAGUCUGCUCCGAUAGCAAUUACUUCAGAGGAGGGAUUUUAUAUCCCAUCAAAAUCUUGGAGUGCUCUAAGUCUUCUCCCCCUAACUUUGGGAUCUAAAAAGUAGAAUCCUUGACCAACCCAAGUAUGGAAGCCUUCAAUCCUCAAUGAAAGGAUCCAAAACAAAUAAAAAUCAUCCUUUCCAUUGAUGGACCGAAGAAGGAGCUCUCCUUAUCAAAGUAGGAACCCUCUUGGAGGAGAGAUAUACCACCAAUCUUUAGUAUGCCUUUUAUUGGUGAAGA
This 306-nucleotide long non-coding RNA is filed under the name Elaeis guineensis (African oil palm). Its description in RNAcentral is "long non-coding RNA (EGUI_LNC031617)". Lineage: Eukaryota; Viridiplantae; Streptophyta; Magnoliopsida; Arecales; Arecaceae. The record is from RNAcentral.